AGUCGAACGGCAGCGCGGGGCAACCUGGCGGCGAGUGGCGAACGGGUGAGUAAUAUAUCGGAACGUACCCAAGAGUGGGGGAUAACGUAGCGAAAGUUACGCUAAUACCGCAUACGAUCUAAGGAUGAAAGCAGGGGAUCUUCGGACCUUGUGCUCCUGGAGCGGCCGAUAUCUGAUUAGCUAGUUGGUGAGGUAAAGGCUCACCAAGGCCACGAUCAGUAGCUGGUCUGAGAGGACGACCAGCCACACUGGAACUGAGACACGGUCCAGACUCCUACGGGAGGCAGCAGUGGGGAAUUUUGGACAAUGGGCGAAAGCCUGAUCCAGCAAUGCCGCGUGAGUGAAGAAGGCCUUCGGGUUGUAAAGCUCUUUUGUCAGGGAAGAAACGGUGGGGGCUAAUAUCCCUCGCUAAUGACGGUACCUGAAGAAUAAGCACCGGCUAACUACGUGCCAGCAGCCGCGGUAAUACGUAGGGUGCAAGCGUUAAUCGGAAUUACUGGGCGUAAAGCGUGCGCAGGCGGUUUUGUAAGUCUGACGUGAAAUCCCCGGGCUCAACCUGGGAAUUGCGUUGGAGACUGCAAGGCUAGAAUCUGGCAGAGGGGGGUAGAAUUCCACGUGUAGCAGUGAAAUGCGUAGAGAUGUGGAGGAACACCGAUGGCGAAGGCAGCCCCCUGGGUCAAGAUUGACGCUCAUGCACGAAAGCGUGGGGAGCAAACAGGAUUAGAUACCCUGGUAGUCCACGCCCUAAACGAUGUCUACUAGUUGUCGGGUUUUAAUUAACUUGGUAACGCAGCUAACGCGUGAAGUAGACCGCCUGGGGAGUACGGUCGCAAGAUUAAAACUCAAAGGAAUUGAC
RNAcentral lists this ribosomal RNA (856 nucleotides) under uncultured bacterium. RNAcentral describes it as "bacterial SSU rRNA". It matches the Rfam family "Bacterial small subunit ribosomal RNA", at positions 60 to 914 of the family's 1533-position model. The record is from RNAcentral.